GCAAUAUAGAGGAGGAAAAAAAUGGAAUCCAGAGUAUGCAGAAAUAGUGCCUAUGUAAAGAGAUGUAACAUGAAGAAUGGGAAACGUGAACAAAACAUGAAGAGCAAAAAUUAGGGUGAGAAGAGCAAGUACAGUUAAGGCCAAAUAUACCAGGUGGCACAAUUUCAGUAUCAGCAGAGUGCUUCGACAAAAUGAAUGUCAUUUCGCUUCAAAGGAACAAGAUGCUCGCAAGAAAAUUACUGCAGAAUACAACUCAAGCUUAACAGACCAAAUUCUAGGUACACCAAGAGUGCAAACUGCAAAAUGUGAUUAUGCAUCAUUGGAAGUGAUGGAAGAAGGGAAGAAAUUCCACUGUAUCUUUACAGGUUGCAGUAACGGUUGGUGAAUGCUGUGCAAGAGAACCUGCAAUGUAUGCUGCUGAAUCAUCACUGGAGGAGCAAAUAGAAGCUGUAAGAGCAAAAGCCAGGACGCACUUUGAUGUUGAGACAGAACAUUUGUAUUCAGAAAACAUCAUAACAGAUGAAAGCUGCUUUCAGCCACAUGCCACAACGCCUUGCAAGGACAUGCUGACUGCUGCAAAAACAAUUGAGACAGAGUGUUUCUCUGAUGAGACGCAGGUUGUUAUAAACACUGAUCCAUUUCUUCAUGAGGAAGUGGAAAACCUACAACACAAUUUGAAAUUUGCUGGCAAAACUACUGAAGAAAAUGAGGAGAUUAGUUUGAAGUGCAACGAAACUGUACAGUUCAUUACAAAUGGUGAAGCUAUGCCUAAACAUAGCAAUCAUGUAUUACAGAACCAUAUUAGAAGUAAUUCCAAUGAUUGUGUAUAUGGAGACUCUUGGUCUGUACAGAAUACAAAAGGAACUGUGGAGGUAGAUGGCCGGACAAUAAAACAAAACCACACAAAUCUCGUGAGUGAAAUGAAUGAAGAUUAUCAACAGAUGGGUUCAGAAGCGGAGCAGGAAGUUCAGGGCAGUGUGGAGUUCAGUGAGUGUCAGACAUCACAUGAAGUUUCAGAGAAACAAGGUGAUGAAGAUGUGGAAGGACCCUCCAGCUUUAAACAUAAUGUUGUCUCAUCCAGUCAGAAGAAUGAUACUGAAGAGUUAAUGCAAUUCAAUGACAAUUCACUUUCCUUGGAUGAACUUGCAAAAAGGAUUCAGAUAGAAGAGAGUAUCCGUCCAGAAGGUCUUGUUUCCAUACUGAAGAAAGGAAGAUCAGGACAAAGAAAUCAUGCAGGCACAACAGAAGCAGUCAAAGAGAAGAGUAAGAUUUCAGGAUCCCCAAGAUACACUUGAUCAGGAUGAAGUAAAUGGAGAUUCCUGCCUUCUCUUAGUCCUGCUGUGUAUUGUCACAGUACUUCUGAGCAUCCUAGGAACAGCACUUUAUUGCACAUUUGGUGAUCUGGAGUCCAGUGUGUGCAGAGACUUCACAACACAGGUGGACUUUUACUAUACCCAGUUUCAACAAGGGGUUGCAAAAGUUAAGCACUGGUUGCUGUUUUCUUAAAUAACAAUGUAUCCACACGCAUUGACAUCAUUGUGUAAAUGGGAAUUCGGAUGGACCACAAUGAGCAGUUAAUCAUGUUGAUGCUCGUGCUGCAGUGCACUAACUACUGUGGAAUGUCACAACACAGGAACUUAAAUACUGAAGCUUCAGACCUCAACAAAACCAUUUGUAACUUGACAUUAUUACCAUUAAUAGCUUGAAGGAAGACUGAAUAUACAAACAAUAAUGUUUGCAAACUGUGUGAAUAGCAGAAUUGUCAAUUGUUUUCAGAAGAAAUUAGUUUUGUAUAAUUUGCCUGUUAGGGUACUCUGCACUUAAAGGAUGUAAUAAUUUGGAUUCAUAAUGGUUCUUGUGUCAUAAUGUAAGUGUUUUAUUUACAGUUGAUAAUUUUGCAUUUGAUUUUACUUGUCGGUUUUACCUUGUUUUUAAAAAAAAUCAUAUUAUCUGUAGGUUUUGAUUUCAAAACUAUUUUAAUUGUUUAGAUUACUUUGCAUAUGUCAGUUUUUCAAUUAUAACUUUUUCUACAGACCUCAAAUUAUCAGUGAUUAUCGCUAUCUGUUAUUCUUAUUUUGUUCCCAUAUUAUAUCCUCCUGUGUUUUUUUAAAAUGCAAACACAGAUGAAUGAAUUUUUAAGAAGAUUGUUAUUUAAUGUUUAAAUGUACAUAUUGUUUAUUAAGUAGUCUGUCAUGUGUGACAGAGGGUAUUUCACUGAGUAUUGGUGAAUCAUUUUCUAUUAUUACUUUCACUUGCUUUUUUUUAGAUGUAAUAAUUCUAAUUUAAAUUGUAGGAGUGAAUGAGUAAGUUUUAACUUGAUUUAUCAGCAUGUGAGCUCCUUCAUCUGUAUGUUUGUUCUGUUAAAUUCAGUUUUACUUUCUUUCAUUUUAAACAAUGGCAAAACAGUUUAAAAACUUGUGGUGCUAAUGUUCUGCUUUGUGAUGCUUUUCGAUUUCUUUGUUUUUGUUUUUACAGAAAGUAUAGUAAAAGAUUCAAGACAUUUUCAGACCUAUUGUCAGUGAAAUGAUAGAGGUUAACAUUUAUUUCUCAAAAUGGUAAAUUUCUUGGCUCAGCAAUGCUGGGAGAAAAGGGAUAUGCAAAUAAAGAAUCUCUAAAGGCUGAUUUCAUCCAAAAGCACAAACUUGGUCAAAUUAUCCUGGAUGAUUGCUUGCAUCUUUUAGAGCAGCAUUGCUGAUGUUAGUAAUUAAGGUGACUGCCCCUUGCAAGUUUGUCAAUAUCAGAAUCAGGUUUAUUAUCACUGACAUAUGUCAUGAAAGUUGUUGUAUUGCAGCAGCAGUACAGUGCAAGAUAUAAAAAUUACUAUAAAUUACAAAAUAAAUAGUGCAAAAAAGUAGUGUUCAUGGACCCUUCAGAAAUCUGAUGGUGGAGGGGAAGAAGCUGUUCCUCAGUCGUUAAAUGUGGGUCUUCAGGCUCCUAAUGGUGGUAACAAGAGGGCAUGUCCCAGAUGGUGAGGGCCCUUAGUGAUGGAUGUUGCCCUCUUGAGGCACCAUCUCUUGAAGAUGGACCCAUUUCACUGAAUUCUCAUAAUUACUUGUGUGUGUGUUGAAAAUUUGUUACGUUCGGUAUAUUUUGACUGAUUUGGAGUGGUAUGCUGAGGUUAACUUGAUUUCUGUUUUAAGGCAGACACGGUAUUUUCCUUGCCGAUUUCUAGUCGCAGAAGUCUGUACUCUCAGGCUUCCACUUCUACCACCUACAUAUGUCUGCAUGGUAAGCAUUGGGAUUAUGCUGCUUGGUUCUUAAAAAGUUGGGCAUCUUUGAAUAAUCUUGGCAGGAAGAGGUUUAAAAAGUUAACUUUAUUAUUGCUAAGGUAGCUGUAUAUUCAGGAGAAUAGCAUGCAUUACCUUAGUCAAAUUUCUGUUGCAUCACAAAGCACAAUAUUGUAACACAUGCACUAUCAUUGUAAAGUUUUAUCACCUUUGAAUGUGUGUGAAAUAUUGAUCUUGUAAAUGGAAAAAUUAUUAUUCAAACCCAUAGAAUUAGGUUUAUAUAUUUAAAAAUGGGAAAUUUUGAAAAAAUAAGAGCAGGUCUCUAUCCAGAUGUGUGCAUGGACUGUUCACCAAAGCUUACAGCAAAUAGUGGAUAAUUAUCUCAUCCUCUUAAUGUGACUGCAUAGCACUUUAAAUCUUGCUUUCUUUGCAGAUUUAUGUUCUAAUUUCUUGGCGCCUGCAAAUAUUGUUUUGUUUAUAACAAUCAAAUACAGUGCUAGAAAUUCACAAUAGGAUUGCCAUUACUAAAAGAAGAAAGGUUAACAUUUAAUGUGUGGAAACUGGCUUUGCUAUUCUUUACUAAGUUUGUUUUUUUUUCCUUUGGUAAAUAUGCAUUAUUUCUGCAUUUAGCAAGUUAUUACUAGUAGCUUACAGUGAGCAAUCAUGCUUAUCCUCCUCUGAUAUAACUAGAAUAUUGUAAAACACUGGCAGAUUGAAUGAGGAAACUUGCUGGUGAAUUUAUUCUUCAAUCCGAAUGAUGUAAUCAUUUAGGAGCUUUAGAAAGGGCCUUAAAUUUUAGCAAAGCAACUUUUAACAUGUAUGUCUAAAAAAUUGCUAACUUUAGACAUUAACUGUAACAUAGUGCAUAAUAGUAGGCACUAUACAAUAGCCAUGAAUUACUGGCUGGUUCAGUACACAACUAUAAAGAUACUAUAUAGAACUUUAUUUAAUGUAGAUUGUGUUGUAUGUAAAGCAAAUCAUUUGGAUUUAUUUUCCUCCUGUUUUUGUAUAUUGCAAAUACCUGGCAUGUAAAAUUUCAAAUCUAUGAUUUGAGCUCUAAUCUUGGUUACAGCACCUGUAUUCUUAAUCUGAAUUGUUAAACGCUUUUGUUUAUUUUGUAUUGUGCAAGACUUUUGGGAUUGUUCACAAGAAAUAUAAAUGUGUCCACAACCACAAUAAUGAAAUGUAGUAAUUUUAUCACUGCAUUGAUUUAAAAUGCAAAACUGCAUAGAAUGGCAAUUUGAAGACAAGAUAAUUGUAAAGUGUUUUACAUGAUUUCUGUCAUUGACCAUGCAGUUUAAGAUUACAACUUGUGAUUUGAAUUUUUACAAAUGGGGAAAAUUCAAGUAGGAUUAACACUGAGUUCCUUAUUUUAAAAUCUGUUUAUUUAAUGUACAACCUUUUAAACUCCUUCAAUGUACCACAUUCAACAAUGUAAAGAUGUGCUGGUUGGUAGCUUAAUUGCCCACUGUAAAUUAUCCCAGAUGUGUGUGUAGAAGGGGAAAGGGAGUUGUUAUGCAUGUGAGAAUAGGUUAUGGGGAAAUAAGUGGGGGCAUGAGACACAAAUGAAUGCUCCAAGAGCUGGCAUAUACUUAAUGGGCCAAUGGCAGCUUCCUAUGUUCUAAGAUAUGCAAAAGAUAAAUUGUGCUUUUCUUAGUCUGAGUCACAAUGUUAAGAUGGAAUUUUCUCAAUCUUUCCUCUUAUUGAACAUAUACAAAUUAGGAGCAGGAGCAAGCCACUUGGCCUCGCCAACCUGCUCUGUGAUUGAUCUAAUCUCAAUUUUACAUUCCUGUAUACCUGCAGUAACCUCUCAACCCCCUUGCUUAACAUGUAUCUAUACCUUUGUCUUGAGACUGCUUCAGGUGCCCAUUGAGUAAGAGUCCUAAAGACUCUCAACCCUUGGAGAGAAGAAAUUUCAAUUCAUGUGUCUUAAAUGGGUGAACUUUUUUUUUUAAAAUAUAGUAAUACCUAGUUAUAAAUUCUUUCAUAAAAAGAAACAGCUCAACAGCCACCCUUAUCAAGACCCCUCAGCAUCUUCUAUGUUUCAAACAUCACAUCUUCCUCUUAAGUUCCUACAGAUACAAGCUGAGCUUGUCCAACAUUUUCUCAUACAACCACCUGUAUUCCAGGUAUUAAUCUAAUAAAACCUGAAUUACUUCCAACAAAUUAACAUAAUCCUUAAGGAGGCUAAUACUCUAGAAAUAGAUACCAAAAAUUUGCCCAAGUUGCUAUUUACUCUACAAAUGUUUGGCCAAUUUGUUUCAACAGGCUGAUUUGCAUCAAUGAUCCCUUGCAGCAUAAUCUUGUCCAUGCACUGCUAAUACAUGAUCAUUUUUUCCAGCUGUGGUGAGUUGUUGUAAGAUACUGAGAGCAAAAAGAAACAAAGUGGAGAUGGCUCUAAAUUGAUGGUAAAUGAAGCAUUGCUUUCUUCUUCAUUAGAAGUAUGGUCAGGUUCAGAGUGAAACCCAAAAAACUGGCUUCAAGCUCAAUGAAGAAAUCCAACUGUAAAGUGAAACCCAAAAGGCCACUGGAUAUAGCAAUGGCCCAAGAGCCACAAGGCAGCAAUGAAUAACUGGAACUGUAGAAGGGAAUUGGAAAUGGAUGUACCUGAUUGAGUUAAUUUAAGUCUUUCUUAAAAUCAGGCUUUCCUUCCCCUCUCUCUCCCUCCACCCCACCAAUGUAGAAGAAAGCAAUGCUUUAUUUACCAUCAAUUUAGAACCAUCUCCACUUCUAUCAGUAUAUUACAACUCACCACAGCUGGGAAAAAUGAUCAUGUAUUAGUGUAUAAUCCCAUAAACUGGCUAUAUUUGGUUUACUCUUUGUGCUCAUUUCAUUUACCCAUACAAAUUCCCCAAUUGACACUAAAUAGUUUAAACUUUCCUUUGAUUUUUUUCUUCAUUACUUAAAUCCUUGUUCUGUUCUUCACCUUUACCCUUGCCUCUCAUCUACAACUAUUCAGUGUAUAAUUAGAUAAACUUGGUGGGGAGGGGAACAAUCAGUCCCAAUAUCUGUGAAGCUGUGCUCAUCCUCAAGUGAGAAAUGUGGAAUUAGAAAAGGAGCAGAACCUUAUGCAUAAAGACAAUUAGAAUUGAAUAUUAGGUGCUCCUUAAAGAGAAAUUAUAUUACUGGAAUUCAGUGUAUUGGUGCUCCUAUGUAAACAGUACAAUUCAAAUUGGGUGCAUAUGUCAGCUGCAUAGGAGAGGUGAAACACACCCAGGAUUGGGAAGUUAAUAUUUUUAUACCUCCUUAGAUAGAUGUGCAAGUUAGCCAGUAGAGAUUGCCUGUUGCUGCCUGAAGCACGAGAUCAAUUUCAAGAAAGUAAACCUCUGACUGCAGAUGUUCAUGUUCUCCCUGCUAAUCAACAUGUAUAGGUCCAAGAUGUUGAUACAAUCUUAAAUUAAGUUUUAGUGAACAGCAACAAGUUCAAUAACAAUGUGCAGAAUAGAUGCAUCACAUUGUUAAACCAAUAAAUUUUGAUCCUGUGUACAAACUAAAAAUUACAUGGAUCAAUGUACAUAUUUUUCUAGUUUCCACAAAAUCUUUUCUACACAUCAGCUCUUUGCUCAGCAUCCACCUCAUCUCCAAUUUCCAUUCACUUCACUUAAUAUUUAAAAAAUCCAAAUUGUACAAAUAAAAUGCUUUGGAAAAAUUUCAAAGCUGUGGUCUUGAUGCUAUAUUUUUCCUCUGCAAAUGGGAGAUUAUUAUUUUUAGAAAUCAAAUGUCAUUCUGAGGCCAGGCUUAAAUGCAAGAUGAACUACUUUGGAUUGGUUGGGGAGAAUAAUAUGCUUGUAUCCAGUGAUCAGUCAUUAGCCACUGGGUGAGAUUUCUUCAGACUUGAAACCAGAUGAAGUUAUGGAGUUGACCUUUGGUCUGCAUCACUCCACAUUAGAUGGAAGGUGUAUUUUGAGUGUACUAAACAAGUAUAUGCUUGUACAUUUUGUAAUCCCUGUAAUGCUGAAAAAUAAAUUUACAUAUACCUUU
Molecule: long non-coding RNA, 7208 nt
Organism: Pristis pectinata (smalltooth sawfish)
Lineage: Eukaryota; Metazoa; Chordata; Chondrichthyes; Rhinopristiformes; Pristidae
Exons: 6
Source: RefSeq, a predicted model, not a curated record